AACGUAGGUUCCGAGCGUUAUCCGGAUUUACUGGGCGUAAAGCGCGUUCAGGCGGUUUGGCAAGUCGGGCAUGAGAUCUCUGGGCUCAACCCGGAGAGGUUGUCCGAUACUGCUAAACUGGAGGGCAGUAGAGGGUGGUGGAAUUCCGGGUGUAGUGGUGAAAUGCGUAGAGAUCCGGAGGAACACCAGUGGCGAAAGCGGCCACCUGGACUGCACCUGACGCUGAGGCGCGAAAGCUAGGGGAGCAAACAGG
Molecule: ribosomal RNA, 253 nt
Filed under: uncultured bacterium
Lineage: Bacteria
Description: partial 16S ribosomal RNA
Rfam family: Bacterial small subunit ribosomal RNA
Source: RNAcentral